Molecule: ribosomal RNA, 237 nt
Filed under: Rhizophagus sp. (in: glomeromycetes)
Lineage: Eukaryota; Fungi; Glomeromycota; Glomeromycetes; Glomerales; Glomeraceae
Description: Rhizophagus sp. (in: Fungi) partial small subunit ribosomal RNA
Rfam family: Eukaryotic small subunit ribosomal RNA (bases 33-237)
Source: RNAcentral
GGAUUAGUAUGUCGGUCGUGCUUCGGUACGUACUGUCAUUACUGGUUUCUCCCUUCUGAAGAACCAUGAUGUCAUUAAUUUGGUGUCUUGGGAAAUCAGGACUGUUACUUUGAAAAAAUUAGAGUGUUUAAAGCAGGCAUACGCUUGAAUACAUUAGCAUGGAAUAAUGAAAUAGGACGUUUGAUUCUAUUUUGUUGGUUUCUAGGAUCGACGUAAUGAUUAAUAGGGAUAGUUGGG